GGGCCGUUAGCUCAAUGGGUGAGAGCGCAUGGCUUAUAACCGUGAGGUUGCGGGUUCGAGUCCCGCACGGCCUACCA
This 77-nucleotide transfer RNA is filed under the name Saezia sanguinis. RNAcentral's name for it is "tRNA-Ile". It matches the Rfam family "tRNA". Rfam says of the family: Transfer RNA (tRNA) molecules are approximately 80 nucleotides in length. Lineage: Bacteria; Pseudomonadati; Pseudomonadota; Betaproteobacteria; Burkholderiales; Saeziaceae. The record is from RNAcentral.